CACCGGAGCUUGCUCCACCGGAAAAAGAGGAGUGGCGAACGGGUGAGUAACACGUGGGUAACCUGCCCAUCAGAAGGGGAUAACACUUGGAAACAGGUGCUAAUACCGUAUAACAAUCAAAACCGCAUGGUUUCGAUUUGAAAGGCGCUUUCGGGUGUCGCUGAUGGAUGGACCCGCGGUGCAUUAGCUAGUUGGUGAGGUAACGGCUCACCAAGGCCACGAUGCAUAGCCGACCUGAGAGGGUGAUCGGCCACAUUGGGACUGAGACACGGCCCAAACUCCUACGGGAGGCAGCAGUAGGGAAUCUUCGGCAAUGGACGAAAGUCUGACCGAGCAACGCCGCGUGAGUGAAGAAGGUUUUCGGAUCGUAAAACUCUGUUGUUAGAGAAGAACAAGGAUGAGAGUAACUGUUCAUCCCUUGACGGUAUCUAACCAGAAAGCCACGGCUAACUACGUGCCAGCAGCCGCGGUAAUACGUAGGUGGCAAGCGUUGUCCGGAUUUAUUGGGCGUAAAGCGAGCGCAGGCGGUUUCUUAAGUCUGAUGUGAAAGCCCCCGGCUCAANCCGGGGAGGGUCAUUGGAAAUCUGGGAGACUUGAGUGCCAGAAGAGGAGAGUGGAAUUCCAUGUGUAGCGGUGAAAUGCGUAGAUAUAUGGAGGAACACCAGUGGCGAAGGCGGCUCUCUGGUCUGUAAC
This 693-nucleotide ribosomal RNA is filed under the name uncultured Bacilli bacterium. Its description in RNAcentral is "bacterial SSU rRNA". It matches the Rfam family "Bacterial small subunit ribosomal RNA", at positions 70 to 740 of the family's 1533-position model. The record is from RNAcentral. Lineage: Bacteria; Bacillati; Bacillota; Bacilli.